AUAAUGAUACUUCUGCCUUCGGGCAGCUCGGUGAGAACCACGGAGAGGUGAGAACCCUAUGG
Faecalibacterium cf. prausnitzii KLE1255 is the source of this 62-nucleotide non-coding RNA. The record is from Rfam. NCBI's taxonomy places the organism in Bacteria, Bacillati, Bacillota, Clostridia, Eubacteriales, Oscillospiraceae.